This 505-nucleotide ribosomal RNA is filed under the name uncultured bacterium. RNAcentral describes it as "partial 16S ribosomal RNA". It matches the Rfam family "Bacterial small subunit ribosomal RNA", at positions 28 to 507 of the family's 1533-position model. The record is from RNAcentral.
GACGAACGCUGGCGGCGUGCCUAAUACAUGCAAGUAGAACGCACAGUUUAUACCGUAGCUUGCUACACCAUAGACUGUGAGUUGCGAACGGGUGAGUAACGCGUAGGUAACCUGCCUGGUAGCGGGGGAUAACUAUUGGAAACGAUAGCUAAUACCGCAUAAUAUUGAUUAUUGCAUGAUAAUUGAUUGAAAGAUGCUAUUGCAUCACUACCAGAUGGACCUGCGUUGUAUUAGCUAGUAGGUGAGGUAACGGCUCACCUAGGUGACGAUACAUAGCCGACCUGAGAGGGUGAUCGGCCACACUGGGACUGAGACACGGCCCAGACUCCUACGGGAGGCAGCAGUAGGGAAUCUUCGGCAAUGGACGAAAGUCUGACCGAGCAACGCCGCGUGAGUGAAGAAGGUUUUCGGAUCGUAAAGCUCUGUUGUAAGAGAAGAACGGGUGUGAGAGUGGAAAGUUCACACUGUGACGGUAUCUUACCAGAAAGGGACGGCUAACUACGUG